AUUGAACGCUGGCGGCAUGCCUUACACAUGCAAGUCGAACGGCAGCACGGGUGCUUGCACCUGGUGGCGAGUGGCGAACGGGUGAGUAAUACAUCGGAACAUGUCCUGUAGUGGGGGAUAGCCCGGCGAAAGCCGGAUUAAUACCGCAUACGAUCCACGGAUGAAAGCGGGGGACCUUCGGGCCUCGCGCUAUAGGGUUGGCCGAUGGCUGAUUAGCUAGUUGGUGGGGUAAAGGCCUACCAAGGCGACGAUCAGUAGCUGGUCUGAGAGGACGACCAGCCACACUGGGACUGAGACACGGCCCAGACUCCUACGGGAGGCAGCAGUGGGGAAUUUUGGACAAUGGGCGAAAGCCUGAUCCAGCAAUGCCGCGUGUGUGAAGAAGGCCUUCGGGUUGUAAAGCACUUUUGUCCGGAAAGAAAUCCUUGGCUCUAAUACAGUCGGGGGAUGACGGUACCGGAAGAAUAAGCGCCGGCUAACUACGUG
Molecule: ribosomal RNA, 486 nt
Filed under: uncultured bacterium
Lineage: Bacteria
Description: partial 16S ribosomal RNA
Rfam family: Bacterial small subunit ribosomal RNA
Source: RNAcentral